UGGGUGUGUUGGUCAGACUAAAGUCUGGUA
This 30-nucleotide non-coding RNA is filed under the name Rattus norvegicus (Norway rat). Lineage: Eukaryota; Metazoa; Chordata; Mammalia; Rodentia; Muridae. The record is from RNAcentral.